CCAAUAGCGUAUAUUAAAGUUGUUGCAGUUAAAAAGCUCGUAGUUGAAUUUCGGGGUUCUUCCGUUGGUCGGGCUAUCCAGUCUGUACUAGCGUGUAGAAUUCCUACCUUCUGGGGAACCAUCAUGUUAUUAAUUUAGCGUGGUGGGAAACCAGGACCUUUACCUUGAAAAAAUUAGAGUGUUCAAAGCAGGCUUACGUCUGAAUACAUUAGCAUGGAAUAAUAGAAUAGGACGGUGGUCCUGUUUUGUUGGUUUCUGAAUCACCGUAAUGAUUAAUAGGGAUAGUUGGGGGCAUUAGUAUUCAAUUGUCAGAGGUGAAAUUCUUGGAUUUAUUGAAGACUAACUUCUGCGAAAGCAUUUGCCAAGGAUGUUUUCAUUAAUCAAGAACGAAAGUUAGGGGAUCGAAGACGAUCAGAUACCGUCGUAGUCUUAACCAUAAACUAUGCCGACUAGGGAUCGGACGAUGUUAAAUUUUAUUGACUCGCUCGGCGCCUUACG
Molecule: ribosomal RNA, 498 nt
Filed under: uncultured Glomeromycotina
Lineage: Eukaryota; Fungi; Glomeromycota
Description: partial small subunit ribosomal RNA
Rfam family: Eukaryotic small subunit ribosomal RNA
Source: RNAcentral